Molecule: long non-coding RNA, 4751 nt
Organism: Ceratina calcarata
Lineage: Eukaryota; Metazoa; Arthropoda; Insecta; Hymenoptera; Apidae
Exons: 2
Source: RefSeq, a predicted model, not a curated record
GAGAGGAGCAACAGAACCCAUCCGGCACCAGCCUUUUGCCCAUACGCGAGAGCAUCCGAAGAAUCGAGCAUCUCUACUCGUGAAACCAGCCCACCACUCGCACCGUACCAUUCCCCGGAACGUCGUCGAAAAAUCUGCAAAAGCUAAUUAUACCGACCUCCCUUCUGCUCCGACGAUCUUACGUUUCCUCGGCUACGUAUCUUCCCUCCUUCUCUUCGCUCGGCCCUUUCGCAUGCCUGCUUUCCUCUAAACAGUCUGCUGGAUUUGGAAAUUUCUGUAUUAAGUCUCGACGACUUUAUUCGUAAACGAGGUUACUAGAUUUUAAUCCGUGUCAAAUAUGUAGAUUAUUCGCGGUAUCGUAGUUCGGUUUUCUGAGAUCAAUAUUAAUAUAUUGAUUAUCAUUAUUACACAAAAUAUGAAUUGAAAGAAAUUCGCUUUUGAUACUAUCAAACAUUGCUCCGAAAGUUAUUUUAGUUAUAAUUUUAAUUACAACUAAAUAACGUUUACUGACUUUUGUAAGGCGAAGUAAGGGUAACAGUUAAAACUGAAUAACAAGUGUUCGUUGAACUCGGGUCUAUAAAACUACAAUUAUACGUAUAGGCUCAUAAAAGGAACGACGGCGUUAGCAGUUAGCUCGUGACACGAAUAAAACCUCGUUCGUCGACUUUGGCCGUGAAUACGUGUCUACGUGGCACGUUAGGGUCGUAAGUGGGUUAAAGGUACUGGUUGUUUAGAGGGUAAAGUGCAUAGUUUGCCCGCGCUUGGAAACAACGGAGAGUGGAUCGCCUAACGAAGUGUGUUCGUCACUGCGGAGACCAUGGAAACAAAUAUAUUGCGAGGGAGCUGACGCGAUGUCAAAGAAAACACAAUCCGACGAAACCGUUAACAGUUCGCUUAUUCGAUCUCUCUGCUCGCUCAAUUUCGAACUCGACCCUUCGCAAUGAUUGCGUGCAAUACUCUUGUGUGUAAAAAUCGCGAUUGGAGCUCGAGGACUUUGUGACAAUUUCGCUUCCUCUAGAAUUUAGAGAAACACAUUUUAUAUUUUUGUUUUGAAUGUUUGUAGAAUUUUAUAGUAAAGAUUAUGUUUAUUACGUAUGUUGCUCUGCGUUAGAUAUUUUGUAUAUUUUCACUUUCCCUAGGUAUAUCCUGCAUAUUUCUUACAGUAAUUUGCAGUUUGUGUAGAUACUAGUGUGCAAGAUUGUGAAAUGUUUCUAUAAAAAUUAAUAAUUAAGUGAUGCUCGUUUUCAUUACGCCUCGUUUCCUAUAAUGUUACCAACUAUUUUUUACAAACCCUACAAAUGUUUCAUGACUUGAGUAUCGAGGUACGAGCGACAUCCAUGAGACGGUUCAAGAAAUCCAAGAUGUGGGAGGAUAGACGGAAGGUUGAAAGAUAUCUGCGUCACAGAAAUACAAUACUUAACGCGUUUGCAUGAGUAUUACAUUAACCGAAGUUCGAACUCGUUCGAGCACGUAUCAUCUGCCCCUCAAUAUCCGAACCGUACAUAUCGUACUACUUUUUAAUUAACAUAGAGGAAGAAUCAAUAAGGAAUGUGAUUAGAAAAACUACGAUAUUGAUGCAAAGUAUCUUUUGAACCAAAUCAGAGGAUUAUUAUUUCAUGUGACUAUUGAGAGUGUACGACUACUGGUACGAAAAAUUGUAAAGGGUGAUUCUAGAAGUCAAAAUAAGAUCAAGAAUAAUCAAGAAUACAUAUAAAGUCAAAAUAAAAUCAAGAAUACAUAUAAAGUACAGAAUAUAAACUUUCACCGGUCAGUAUAAGAAAACCCAUUUCUGCCUUUCAUAUCUCUUCUACAUACAAAAUAGCAAACAUACCAGAAUGUGCCUCUCUUGAAAGCCUCUCUCGAAAGCCUCUCUCCCAUUCAACGUUAUAUUUAAUAUCUUUUGCAUAAUAGAAUCAAAGUGGUAAUAUCGAGUGAACAACCCUAUACACCCUGUUCGCGUCGCGUGUAGCAUAGAUCGAGCAGAAAGCGCGCGCAAUGUCGGCGAUUCGGGUUAACCAGGAAAGCAGCACGACUCUGUCACUAAUCCGCCAUGCAGCGGUUAAGCCGCGUCCGUUGCUGGGUAUCGCUGUCGGAGGUUUUUCAUGAAGUCCGAUACUCGGACACGAUAUCAUUUUUUUGUUCAUUCCCCCGUUCCGCCGCGUUCUCUAUCCCUUUGACUCGAUUCGACAAAGCAGCGGAGCUACCGUGGAAAUCCCGCCUCGGGGUCCACGGUCCGCGAUGGAAAUCUCGUCGGCGGAACGAAGAAGGGAGAAAGGGAUACCGGCGAGAUAGAAGGAAAAAGAGAGACAGCGGGAUCGGCAAAGGAGGAAAGGGGAAGCACUCGUUGAUUUCCCGUUUUCAUAUUCAAUAUGAUCUGCCCCGGCAUUGUAUUCAUUGAAAACGAGUCAACCGCACGCAAGAUCAGGAGCCGGGCGCCAGAAACGAGAGUGGAUCAUGGAAGCCUGGGCUACGUCGGUGAUGAUGGCAGCGGUGUGUGGCAGUGGUGGUGCGGUGGGUAGGUCGUUGCGGUGGUUGGAUGGAUGGUUAGUUGGUAGGUAGGUAGGUUGGUUGGUUGGCUGACUGGCUGGUUUCCUACUCCAACUAAUGAAAGGAGACUCUGCGCCAGGGUCUGGAGGUUGCCCGUCUGCUUGAGGUUUAAAGUCGAUGUGUCCUCUUCAGCCGUGAAUCACGACCGGGAGCACGCCGCGUAUCCCGGGGGAUGCCGGGGACACGAGGGAAUGGGGCAGAGGAUGAUGCUUCUGGACCGUUCCGGGCUAGAGGUAUCUUUCAAGGCGAGAGCCAACUUCGACGCGAAUAGAGACGUAAGCCCGGUGUGCCCAGGCUACUUUUAGGAUUACCUUGCCACUUAUUUUCGGAAUUCUUGUUCCCGGGGCUUCGCUUUUGUACGGUUUACUUUGAUGAAUAAUAUCCUUGGAUACCGAGGUUAUGCGACCGGGCCACUUUUCAGAUUACCUCGCCACUUAGUUCCGGAAUUCUUGUUCCCGGGACUUCGCUUUUCCACCGAUAUUUUUGGGAAUAAUAUGUGUAAAUAACAACAUUAUACAUAAAUAAAAAGAAUCUAGUAUUCUGCGUUUUGCUUUAUAGUAUUAGUAUUCAAUAAAAUACUAGGAUUCUUUCGAUAUAAGUGCAGUUGUGUUCAUUUAUAAAAUGUUUUAAAUGUAGGUAUGAAAAUAUCUGUGAAAUGGUAAAAUAUCUGAAUACAAAUAAACCGGGAGAACUCAGUCAGGUUGGGAACCUAAUUCAGCAAUAUUCGUGUUAACGAAUCGCCAACGUUUUCCAUUCGAGUGUUUGCCCUACAAAAACCGCAUUUAUAUUCCCCAAUGUAUUCAAUAUCUGCGUUACAAUGUGUAUACAACGAGUAAAAACAAGACGAUCAACACUGAAUCGAUUGAGUGCCUUAUUUCUCUGCUGCUACCUAUACAAAAGUUGUCAAUUCCAAACAACAUAAUAAAGAAAUUCCUCAUUUAAAUAAAUUGCGUUUGUUUUCUUUACAAUCUAUUUGAAUAUCCAUUUGAAUCAUCAUUAACCCGAGCAAUAUCCUAUGGUCCAUAAACAUUCAGUGUACACUUUCUUCCUUUUCAUAACGAUUAGAUUACGACGUGAAAUAAAGAUGAGACACAGCAAUAAUGAUAAUAACUCGCAGAAAACGCAUCAACCCAUCCGGGCCCUAUUAAAACCCGACUCCUUAAACGCAACGACAAAACCUUCCGUCUGGUUUCAAAGGAAGAGGUGGUCGCUGAUUAAAGAUCCUCCUUAGCAGCAGCGAGACUUUUAAUCACGAUAAGCGCGACCUCGCGACAGCCGGGUCCCUCCUCGUAUUCCCUAAUGACGAAAGGCCAUUCGCAAGAAGAAUCUCGCCCAUCGCCGUCCUCGGAUUCUCCGUUUCCCUCCCCGGCCAUGUUCGCACUGCGAGAAAGAGGCAGCGAAGAACCGAGUAACGUCAUUGUGGCAGAAAAAUGGAAGUUCCUAAUAGAGACCACCGUGCAUGCGGCAGGGGGUGAGAAACACCGAGGCGAGAGAGCGAGGAGGAUCGUCGGGGAUGCAACGAGGAGGGAAGCUGGCGAGUAUCGCGGACGAGAUGGAUGACGCGGGGAGAAUGCAGAUCCCGGGUAGGGAUGCGGAUGGAUGGGCAUGGACCGGCGGAGCAGCGCAGCGAAGGGUCGCGAGCGUAAAAGGGUGCAGCGGCGCUCACGGUGCAACCCUAUAGGCGACUGUACCGCGCCGCGGCGCUAUUGGGGUGGUUGCCAGGGUGGUGGUACGGGGCGGAGCGACGCCGAUAGGAGGGUUGCUGCCGCCGGCCUCUCGCCGGCUGCUUUUUCGGAGGGUUGGAUCAGCGCGACGCUCGGUGCGCGAACUCCAGGACGCCGACGACUGACGGACGGCUUGAUGCACGCUCACCUCGCUAUCUUUAACUCGAAAUUGCGCAACGUUUGAUUAAUCGCAGCCAAAGGUUACGAUUUAUGUAGGAAGAAUUGCGUCACGUGCACUUCUAUUGUAUUACAUUAUGGGUGCUUCCAGAUUAUGAUAUACGCGUAAGUGUCUGAUAUAUGAUAGUUUAUACUACUUCCACAGCUUGGAACUAUCAAAUCUUACUGUCUGUUUAAUAUAAUUAAAAAAGCGUGUUAGCGAAAUAGUGUGGAAAAUAGUGUGUAACCAUAAAAUCAUUAACAUAUUCCUUUCUUAGUUAUUUGUAAUAAUCAAUAAAUAAAGAGAAUUUGAUUUUUAUUUAA